RNAcentral lists this ribosomal RNA (152 nucleotides) under uncultured Alphaproteobacteria bacterium. RNAcentral describes it as "partial 16S ribosomal RNA". It matches the Rfam family "Bacterial small subunit ribosomal RNA", at positions 335 to 504 of the family's 1533-position model. Lineage: Bacteria; Pseudomonadati; Pseudomonadota; Alphaproteobacteria. The record is from RNAcentral.
ACUCCUACGGGAGGCAGCAGUGGGGAAUCUUGGACAAUGGGCGCAAGCCUGAUCCAGCCAUGCCGCGUGAGUGAUGAAGGCCCUAGGGUCGUAAAGCUCUUUCGCCAGGGAUGAUAAUGACAGUACCUGGUAAAGAAACCCCGGCUAACUCC